This 406-nucleotide ribosomal RNA is filed under the name uncultured bacterium. RNAcentral's name for it is "partial 16S ribosomal RNA". It matches the Rfam family "Bacterial small subunit ribosomal RNA", at positions 29 to 526 of the family's 1533-position model. The record is from RNAcentral.
AUUGAACGCUGGCGGCAGGCCUAACACAUGCAAGUCGAACGAGUGGCGGACGGGUGAGUAAUGUCUGGGCAACUGCCCGAUGGAGGGGGAUAACUAAUGGAAACGGUAGCUAAUACCGCAUACCAUCGGAUGUGCCCAGAUGGGAUUAGCUUGCAGGUGGGGUAACGGCUCACCUAGGCGACGAGCCCUAGCUGGUCUGAUAGGAUGACCAGGCACACUGGAACGGAGACACGGUCCAGACUCCUACGGGAGGCAGCAGUGGGGAAUAGUGCAAAAUGGGCGCAAGCCUGAUGCAGACAGGCCGCGUGUAUGAAGAAGGCCUUCGGGUUGUAAAGUACUUUCAGCGGGGAGGCGUUACCCGCAGAAGAAGCACCGGCUAACUCCGUGCCAGCAGCCGCGGUAAUAC